GGAGUUAGCCGGUGCUUCUUCUGCGAGUAACGUCACAGAUGUAAGGUAUUAACUUACACCCUUUCCUCCUCGCUGAAAGUGCUUUACAACCCGAAGGCCUUCUUCACACACGCGGCAUGGCUGCAUCAGGGUUUCCCCCAUUGUGCAAUAUUCCCCACUGCUGCCUCCCGUAGGAGUCUGGGCCGUGUCUCAGUCCCAGUGUGGCUGAUCAUCCUCUCAGACCAGCUAGGGAUCGUCGCCUAGGUGAGCCUUUACCUCACCUACUAGCUAAUCCCACCUGGGCUUAUCCAUCAGCGCAAGGCCCGAAGGUCCCCUGCUUUCCCCCGUAGGGCGUAUGCGGUAUUAGCAGUCGUUUCCAACUGUUAUCCCCCACAACUGGGCAAAUUCCCAGGCAUUACUCACCCGUCCGCCGCUCGUCAUCUUCAAAGCAAGCUUUUGAAUGUUACCGCUCGACUUGCAUGUGUUAGGCCUGCCGCCAGCGUUCAAUCUGAGCCAUAAUCAAACUCUGA
Molecule: ribosomal RNA, 509 nt
Filed under: uncultured bacterium
Lineage: Bacteria
Description: partial 16S ribosomal RNA
Source: RNAcentral